GUAGGGUGCAAGCGUUAAUCGGAAUUACUGGGCGUAAAGCGUGCGCAGGCGGUUUUGUAAGACAGUGGUGAAAUCCCCGGGCUCAACCUGGGAACUGCCAUUGUGACUGCAAGGCUGGAGUGCGGCAGAGGGGGAUGGAAUUCCGCGUGUAGCAGUGAAAUGCGUAGAUAUGCGGAGGAACACCGAUGGCGAAGGCAAUCCCCUGGGCCUGCACUGACGCUCAUGCACGAAAGCGUGGGGAGCAAACAGGAUUAGAUACCCUGGUAGUCCCACGCCCUAAACGAUGUCAACUGGUUGUUGGGAAUUUAUUUUCUCAGUAACGAAGCUAACGCGUGAAGUUGACCGCCUGGGGAGUACGGCCGCAAGGUUA
RNAcentral lists this ribosomal RNA (370 nucleotides) under uncultured organism. RNAcentral's name for it is "partial 16S ribosomal RNA". It matches the Rfam family "Bacterial small subunit ribosomal RNA", at positions 527 to 896 of the family's 1533-position model. The record is from RNAcentral.